UACGUAGGGGGCAAGCGUUAUCCGGAUUUACUGGGUGUAAAGGGAGCAUAGACGGAGCAGCAAGUCUGAUGUGAAAACCCGGGGCUCAACCCCGUAUGGCGCUGGAAACUGUUAGGCUUGAGUGCAGGAGAGGAAAGGGGAAUUCCCAGUGUAGCGGUGAAAUGCGUAGAUAUUGGGAGGAACACCAGUGGCGAAGGCGCCUUUCUGGACUGUGUCUGACGCUGAGAUGCGAAAGCCAGGGUAGCGAACGGG
This 252-nucleotide ribosomal RNA is filed under the name Phascolarctobacterium faecium. Its description in RNAcentral is "partial 16S ribosomal RNA". It matches the Rfam family "Bacterial small subunit ribosomal RNA", at positions 524 to 776 of the family's 1533-position model. Lineage: Bacteria; Bacillati; Bacillota; Negativicutes; Acidaminococcales; Acidaminococcaceae. The record is from RNAcentral.